This is a long non-coding RNA of Aedes albopictus (Asian tiger mosquito), 4388 nucleotides long. RefSeq lists it as uncharacterized. The transcript has 3 exons. The record is from RefSeq and is a predicted model, not a curated record. NCBI's taxonomy places the organism in Eukaryota, Metazoa, Arthropoda, Insecta, Diptera, Culicidae.
CUUCGAGAGACAAUUGUUUUUUAUGACUAUUGCCGUUUUCAGAUUUUUUUUAUAUGCAAUCCUGAUUUUCAUACAAAUUUUCAAAAACUGGGAAACUCACCACAUUUUGAAAUAAAAAUCAUCAUGCGAAGUAGUUUUUGGUAGCCCUAACGUGGUGAACUUUUUUUUCACCUCUCAGAAAAUGAGGACCACCUGGAAACCCUAACAUGUGUUUUUGUAAAUAUUCAGAACUGUCAAAUAGUACGGAAAACUGAAAAAAAAGAAAAACCGAAAAAAACUUUCGGUAAUUUGUGGUUUUCGUUUGUAAAAAGAAUCCGGGAAGUUUUCGUCGGGGGAAGGUUAACAUAAUGUAUACGGCGCAUCGAUCCGGUUGUGGCCUCAGUGAGAAUAACCGAGCAAAAAGUGAUUCAGUGCGGCAAGUACGGAGUUUGAUCACCGGUGCCAGUCAAACCGCGGGCGCCUCGGAAACGGGUCUGCAGUCCUCUCGCUAUCGCUGCUCUUGAAUGACGGCAAACCUAAAAGCGACAGCGCAGUCUAGUCCCAGUGCCGCCUCCAGCGACAAAAUUCCGGCAGCAACAGUUGGUAGAAAGUGAUGUAUAUGCGAGUCCAAAUUCCAAAUUACGAUGAGCUCAUACUAGCGAAAGAAGCAGAGGAAGAUUUUCUCGUCGGGAAAGUGUGUGGUGACACAAGGACGAUAGGAAGAAGCAUGGUGAAUCGCUAGAGCGCUAACUGGACAAAAAUAUCAAACCGGUGGUAAUAUAUGAUAUAUGAUAUCCGGCAAGCAGCUUAUUUCCACCUCAAGAAAGUGAUCGUUCUGUGCGACAAGCGGUACCAACAUGCGAUCUUUUCGGACCGAACACUUCUCCGGAACCGGCCCUCGUCAGAAUCCUAUUAUCCUUUCGAACCAGUCAAGUCUCCGACUCAAUCGCUAGGUUCCGGAAAUAAUCUGUGCCGUUAAUAUGCGAUUAGCUAUUAUAGGAAAAGCAUCUGCGAGUGGCGGAGGAUCUGCCUCGGGAUCUGCAGAUGGCGACGAUCUCCCACACAUCGGUCAAUUUCAACAGCGCCGUCGGCGAUCACUACGACGACAAUGUCUCUGAUCUGCAUCCGACGCCUCCGAUAAAUCAGCUCUUCUCACGUAACAUUCCGGCAGUUAUCGAUUACAGCUCACAGACCUUCGCCGAUGAUGGAAUCGAGUCACGUUCCGGCCACGGUCACGAUUAUCUCUAGUGUCGUGGUGUCUGCAGUGACCGUCAUCGGUAUUCCGACCUUCGGAAGGCAUAGACGAUGACGACGGGUACAUUUAUUCGCUGCUUUCGUCACGAUCGAGAAACUGUGACGACCACAUGUUCGAACCCCCGCCGAAUGGUGGUUUGUCCAAUGAAAGCGGAAGUCACAGCAGCCCAACAACUUCGCCUUCACGGUGGACAACCUGAGGAAGGUCUUCGGUAACGACAAAAAAGCAUUGCGGAACCUGAACCCCAAUAAUACCGUGCUGGUGAUGGGAGAGAUGUAUAAAUGUAAGCUUCCGCGGGCGGAUUCAGAGAUAAGUUUAUUCUGGCAAGCAUGGCUGUUGAAGAUUUAUCAUUCCACCUGCACGUCGAACAUCAUCAAGACAUUGGACAAGUCUUAGUUUACUUUACAAGGAAUCUUAGUUUACUGUAAUAUUUAUAUUACUUAUAAGUAAAUCGUACCUUUUGGGAUAGUGGGGGGGGGGAGUGUUUGGUGUGUAUGUUCUGCUGGGCUCUAUAAACUAUCCGAAAAUCCGAGGGUGAAUACACCAACUUUUCCAUGGUUGAAACAUUCAGUAAUUCAUAAGUGAUUCUUGCAUUUAAUUGUAUUUUCGUUCAAGCACUAUACUAAAAGCGACAUUUUUUUAAAUUUUCUUACGCUGCUUUUUCACAUGUUGAACACUAGGUAGGGGAACUUACGUAUUUCCGGCCGUUUUUUUCUCUUCGUCAUCUUUUUUUUUAAUUUGUUGAACUUAAAGUUGGCCUCGAAUAUUUCCCAGUAACGACCAAGUUACUAGAAAUUUUGGUCAGCAAAAACCCCUCAUGACAAAGAGAACAAACCUGCCGAUAAUACCCAAAGUCACCCUAUGUCGGAAUUUGUGCGCUCUGUAUCAAGUUUUCAAUACAAAGCAGCGACGUGACGUAGUACAUGAUUUUUUAAACAUAUUAUUUCUCCAACUUCAUAAUAGUUUAUAAGUUAUUGCGUUUUGUCAAAAAUAACCUAAGCUGGAUCACCAAGAAGACUAAAGCUGCAUCACCAAGGUAAAACUUGCGACUUAUCAACUUUUUGACUCAUUUCUUUAGAUUAAAACUUUGAAAUAGUUUAUUUAUAAGGUAUUGUUGCGUUUCAUAAGAAAUAGUCAAAGCUGGAUCACCAAGUCUUCUCAAACUGCGAGGUGACGCAUUACUUACAAGAUUACUUAUCUACCUUUUAACUUAUUUUCUUUUGAAAACAACUCUGAAAUAGUUCAUAAAUUAAUAGGUAUGUUUAUAAAUGAAUUUAUAAAUUAAUAUCUGCAGAAAUGAAAUGACCAAAGCUGGAUCACCAAGUCCCCUCAAGUUGCGAGGCGAUGCAUUACUUAUCUAAAAGUUGACUUAUAUUUUUUAUAUUACAAAUUGGAAAUAGUUUAUAAGUUAUUACUGCGUUUCAUCAGGAAUAAUCACUUAUCCACUUUUUGACUCAUUCUUUAUAUUACUGCGUUUCAUCAGAAAUAGUCAUAGCUGGAUCACUAACUCUAACGUCUAAUGUCAUGAAGAAGGUUCACCAAGUCCUCUGAAGUUGUUUGGUGACGCACAAUGUAUCUACUUAGAAAAUAGAAUCAUUCCUCUAAAUUAUCAGAACUUGUCAUGAAGAAGGUUCACCAAGUCCUCUGAAGUUGUUUGGUGACGCACAAUGCAUCUACUUAGAAAAUAGAACCAUUCCUCUCAAGUAUUAGAACUUGCCAUGAAGAAGGUUCACCAAGUCCUCUGAAGUUGUUUGGUGACGCACAAUGUAUCUACUUAGAAAAUAUAAUCAUUCCUCUAAAUUAUCAGAACUUGUCAUGAAGAAGGUUCACCGAGUCCUCUGACGUUGUUUGGUGACGCACAAUGUAUCUACUUAGAAAAUAGAAUCAUUCCUCUAAAUUAUCAGAACUUGUCAUGAAGAAGGUUCACCAAGUCCUCUGAAGUUGUUUGGUGACGCACAAUGCAUCUACUUAGAAAAUAUAAUCAUUCCUCUAAAUUAUCAGAACUUAUCAUGAAGAAGGUUCACCAAGUCCUCUCAAGUUGUUUGGUGACGCACAAUGUAUCUACUUAGAAAAUAGAAUCAUUCCUCUAAAUUAUCAGAACUUGUCAUGAAGAAGGUUCACCAAGUCCUCUGAAGUUGUUUGGUGACGCACAAUGUAUCUACUUAGAAAAUAGAACUACUCCUCUCAAGUAUUAGAACUUGCCAUGAAGAAGGUUCACCAAGUCCUCUGAAGUUGUUUGGUGACGCACAAUGUAUCUACUUAGAAAAUAGAAUCAUUCCUCUAAAUUAUCAGAACUUGUCAUGAAGAAGGUUCACCAAGUCCUCUGAAAAUGUUUGGUGGCGCACAAUGCUUCUACUUAGAAAAUAGAACCAUUCCUUUCAAAUAUCAGAACUUGCCAUGAAGAAGGUUCACCAAGUCCUCUGAAGUUGUUUGGUGACGCACAAUGUAUCUACUUAGAAAAUAGAACCAUUCCUCUCAAAUAUUAGAACUUGCCAUGAAGAAGGUUCACCAAGUCCUCCACUUUGAGUAUAGAACCAUUCAUUCUAACCAUCAGAUCUUGCCAUGAAGAAGGUUCCUAAAGUCCUCUGAAGUUGCUUAUUGACGAUCAAUACAUUUAAUAUGAAAAUAGAUCGUUUCUCCUUGUAGUUACUGCAGUAGUCCAAGAGAUGUUCUUUCUUGUAGUCAGAGCAUAUCGUUAAGAAGGAUCAUUAAGUCCUCUGAUGCUUGGUUUAUUCACUAUCAUUCUAUUUUAAUAAAUGUGGUGAGUGGCAAAAGAUCAAUGGUAAUGCUAACUAGUGUAAAUCAUCUUAAGGUAGCAAAAGGGACAAACCUCUCACCUGCCAUUAUACAAAUUUAUGGGUUCGCCCAGUUUCAUAUCUUUUCUCGCCUUUUGCACAUAUAAGCAUUUGCAUAUUUUCUUUAUAUUUAUUAACGUAAAUUUCCAUGAAAUCUAAUACCUCACUUGUUUAUACAAGUUUUAUUAAUCUCUUAAUGUCACGGUAGUCUCGACGGUAGUAGUCAUCCAUAUGGCAAAUGCCAAAACGGUAAAAUCGCUCGCUGCGAGCAGGCGUUGGAAUGACAGCGUAGAUUUGGCCGAUCGUGUAGCAAGGAGGCGCGUAAAGUGGCUAAACAUCGCCCAGAAUAAUCGCCGGAA